GACGAACGCUGGCGGCGUGCUUAACACAUGCAAGUCGAACGGAAAGGCCCUGCUUUUGUGGGGUGCUCGAGUGGCGAACGGGUGAGUAACACGUGAGUAACCUGCCCUUGACUUUGGGAUAACUUCAGGAAACUGGGGCUAAUACCGGAUAUGAGCUCCUGCUGCAUGGUGGGGGUUGGAAAGUUUCGGCGGUUGGGGAUGGACUCGCGGCUUAUCAGCUUGUUGGUGAGGUAGUGGCUUACCAAGGCUUUGACGGGUAGCCGGCCUGAGAGGGUGACCGGCCACAUUGGGACUGAGAUACGGCCCAGACUCCUACGGGAGGCAGCAGUGGGGAAUAUUGCACAAUGGGCGGAAGCCUGAUGCAGCAACGCCGCGUGCGGGAUGACGGCCUUCGGGUUGUAAACCGCUUUCGCCUGUGACGAAGCGUGAGUGACGGUAAUGGGUAAAGAAGCACCGGCUAACUACGUG
Molecule: ribosomal RNA, 468 nt
Filed under: uncultured bacterium
Lineage: Bacteria
Description: partial 16S ribosomal RNA
Rfam family: Bacterial small subunit ribosomal RNA
Source: RNAcentral